Molecule: ribosomal RNA, 293 nt
Filed under: uncultured bacterium
Lineage: Bacteria
Description: partial 16S ribosomal RNA
Rfam family: Bacterial small subunit ribosomal RNA
Source: RNAcentral
GGAUUAGAUACCCUGGUAGUCCACACCGUAAACGCUGUCUAUUAGCUGUUUGUGUAUCUGAUACGUGAGUAGCUAAGCUAACGCGCUAAAUAGACCGCCUGGGGAGUACGGCCGCAAGGUUAAAACUCAAAUGAAUUGACGGGGGCCCGCACAAGCGGUGGAGCAUGUGGUUUAAUUCGAUGCAACGCGAAGAACCUUACCUACACUUGACAUCCAGAGAACUUAGCAGAGAUGCUUUGGUGCCUUCGGGAGCUCUGAGACAGGUGCUGCAUGGCUGUCGUCAGCUCGUGCCG